UACGUAGGGUGCGAGCGUUGUCCGGAAUUAUUGGGCGUAAAGAGCUCGUAGGCGGUGUGUCACGUCGAUCGUGAAAACUUACAGCUUAACUGUGAGCGUGCGGUCGAUACGGGCAUCACUUGAGUUCGGUAGGGGAGACUGGAAUUCCUGGUGUAGCGGUGAAAUGCGCAGAUAUCAGGAGGAACACCGGUGGCGAAGGCGGGUCUCUGGGCCGAUACUGACGCUGAGGAGCGAAAGCGUGGGGAGCAAACAGG
RNAcentral lists this ribosomal RNA (254 nucleotides) under uncultured bacterium. Its description in RNAcentral is "partial 16S ribosomal RNA". It matches the Rfam family "Bacterial small subunit ribosomal RNA", at positions 524 to 776 of the family's 1533-position model. The record is from RNAcentral.